CCUACGGGGGGCAGCAGUAGGGAAUCUUCCACAAUGGGCGCAAGCCUGAUGGAGCAACACCGCGUGAGUGAAGAAGGGUUUCGGCUCGUAAAGCUCUGUUGUUGGAGAAGAACGUGCGUGAGAGUAACUGUUCACGCAGUGACGGUAUCCAACCAGAAAGUCACGGCUAACUACGUGCCAGCAGCCGCGGUAAUACGUAGGUGGCAAGCAUUAUCCGGAUUGAUUGGGCGUAAAGCGAGCGCAGGCGGUUGCUUAGGUCUGAUGUGAAAGCCUUCGGCUUAACCGAAGAAGUGCAUCGGAAACCGGGAGACUUGAGUGCAGAAGAGGACAGUGGAACUGCAUGUGUAGCGGUGGAAUGCGUAGAUAUAUGGAAGAACACCAGUGGCGAAGGCGGCUGUGUGGUCUGCAACUGACGCUGAGGCUCGAAAGCAUGGGUAGCGAACAGGAUUAGAUACCCGGGUAG
RNAcentral lists this ribosomal RNA (463 nucleotides) under uncultured bacterium. RNAcentral's name for it is "partial 16S ribosomal RNA". It matches the Rfam family "Bacterial small subunit ribosomal RNA", at positions 338 to 793 of the family's 1533-position model. The record is from RNAcentral.